Cryptococcus sp. DSM 104548 is the source of this 98-nucleotide non-coding RNA. The record is from the annotation of a GenBank genome assembly.
AGUUCUGUAGCUCAGUGGUUAGAGUACCCGCUUUACAAGAUUUUGAAGUGGGCCUUGGGGUUCGCGGAUGGCCGUGGGUUCGACCCCCACCAGAACUA